UAUGGUCAAGAAGAGAAGCGCAAACGGUGGAUGCCUUGGCAGUAAGAGGCGAAGAAGGACGUGGAAUCCUGCGAAAAGCUAUGGGGAGCUGGAAACGAGCGUUGAGCCAUAGAUGUCCGAAUGGGGGAACCCGGCUGCAGCGAUGCGGUCAUUUGCAUUUGAAUACAUAGGAUGCAAAGGCGAACUCGGGGAACUGAAACAUCUAAGUACCCGAAGGAAAAGAAAUCAAGAGAGAUUCUCCAAGUAGCGGCGAGCGAACGGGGAGGAGCCUGGCGUGAUUUAUUAUUGAACUGAGUAGAACAAUUUGGGAAAGUUGGCCGUAGAGGGUGAAAGCCCCGUAUACGAAGGUUUGAUGAGGAACUAGGCACGCGAACAAGUAGGCCGGGACACGUGAAAUCCUGGUUGAAGAUGGGUGGACCAUCAUCCAAGGCUAAAUACUACUUACUGACCGAUAGUGAACCAGUACCGUGAGGGAAAGGUGAAAAGAACCCCGGAGAGGGGAGUGAAAUAGAAUCUGAAACCGUUUGCGUACAAGCAGUGGGAGCAUAGUUUAGGCUGUGUGACUGCGUACCUUUUGUAUAAUGGGUCAGCGAGUUACUUUCAGUGGCGAGGUUAACUGAAUAAGGGAGCCGUAGAGAAAUCGAGUCUGAAUAGGGCGAUAGUCGCUGGGAGUAGACCCGAAACCGGGCGAUCUAGCCAUGUGCAGGAUGAAGGUUGGGUAACACCAACUGGAGGUCCGAACCGGGUAAUGUUGAAAAAUUAUCGGAUGACGUGUGGCUAGGAGUGAAAGGCUAAUCAAGCCCGGAGAUAGCUGGUUCUCCCCGAAAGCUAUUUAGGUAGCGCCUCGUGAAUGAUUACUGGGGGUAGAGCACUGUUUCGGCUAGGGGGCUGUCAUGGCUUACCAAACCGAUGCAA
This 915-nucleotide ribosomal RNA is filed under the name Legionella pneumophila. RNAcentral's name for it is "partial 23S ribosomal RNA". It matches the Rfam family "Bacterial large subunit ribosomal RNA", at positions 1 to 952 of the family's 2925-position model. The record is from RNAcentral. Lineage: Bacteria; Pseudomonadati; Pseudomonadota; Gammaproteobacteria; Legionellales; Legionellaceae.